This 955-nucleotide ribosomal RNA is filed under the name Enterococcus faecium. Its description in RNAcentral is "partial 23S ribosomal RNA". It matches the Rfam family "Bacterial large subunit ribosomal RNA", at positions 141 to 1097 of the family's 2925-position model. Lineage: Bacteria; Bacillati; Bacillota; Bacilli; Lactobacillales; Enterococcaceae. The record is from RNAcentral.
UAGGAUGUUACGAUUGUGUGAAUACAUAGCACAUUCGAGGUAGACGCAGAGAACUGAAACAUCUAAGUACCUGCAGGAAGAGAAAGAAAAUUCGAUUCCCUGAGUAGCGGCGAGCGAAACGGGAAAAGCCCAAACCAGCAAGCUUGCUUGUUGGGGUUGUAGGACUCCAAUAUGGUAGUUCUUUCAGAUAGUCGAAUGACUUGGAAAAGUCAGUCAAAGAGGGUAAAAACCCCGUAGACGAAAUGUGGAAGACACCUAGGAGGAUCCUGAGUACGGCGGAACACGAGAAAUUCCGUCGGAAUCCGGGAGGACCAUCUCCCAAGGCUAAAUACUCCCUAGUGACCGAUAGUGAACCAGUACCGUGAGGGAAAGGUGAAAAGCACCCCGGAAGGGGAGUGAAAUAGAACCUGAAACCGUGUGCCUACAACAAGUCAAAGCCCGUUAAUGGGUGAUGGCGUGCCUUUUGUAGAAUGAACCGGCGAGUUACGAUUGCAUGCGAGGUUAAGUUGAAGAGACGGAGCCGCAGCGAAAGCGAGUCUGAAUAGGGCGUUUGAGUAUGUAGUCGUAGACCCGAAACCAUGUGAUCUACCCAUGUCCAGGUUGAAGGUGCGGUAAAACGCACUGGAGGACCGAACCCACGUACGUUGAAAAGUGCGGGGAUGAGGUGUGGGUAGCGGAGAAAUUCCAAACGAACUUGGAGAUAGCUGGUUCUCUCCGAAAUAGCUUUAGGGCUAGCCUCGGAAUUGAGAAUGAUGGAGGUAGAGCACUGUUUGGACUAGGGGCCCAUCUCGGGUUACCGAAUUCAGAUAAACUCCGAAUGCCAUUCAUUCAUAUCCGGGAGUCAGACUGUGAGUGAUAAGAUCCAUAGUCGAAAGGGAAACAGCCCAGACCACCAGCUAAGGUCCCAAAAUAUAUGUUAAGUGGAAAAGGAUGUGGGGUUGCACAGACAACUAGG